CCUACGGGAGGCUGCAGUGGGGAAUAUUGCACAAUGGGGGAAACCCUGAUGCAGCGACGCCGCGUGAGUGAAGAAGGAAUUCGGUAUGUAAAGCUCUAUCAGCAGGGAAGAAAAUGACGGUACCUGAGUAAGAAGCCCCGGCGAACGACGUGCCCGCAGCCGCGGUAAAACGUAGGGGGCAAGCGUUAUCCGGAUUUACGGGGUGUAAAGGGAGCGUAGACGGCAGAGCAAGUCUGAAGUGAAAGCCCGCGGCCCAACUGCGGGACUGCUUUGGAAACUGCCCGGCUAGAGUGCUGGAGAGGUCAGCGGAAUUCCUCGUGUAGCGGUGAAAUGCGUAGAUAUUAGGAGGAACACCAGUGGCGCAGGCGGCUUACUGGACUGUAACUGACGUUGAGGCUCGAACGCGUGGGGAGCAAACAGGAUUAGCUACCCUAGUAGUC
Molecule: ribosomal RNA, 440 nt
Filed under: uncultured bacterium
Lineage: Bacteria
Description: partial 16S ribosomal RNA
Rfam family: Bacterial small subunit ribosomal RNA
Source: RNAcentral